AUUGGAUCGAGGUCAAUACCCAGUAGACUUAUAUCUGUAUUUACAGUAAGAUUAUCUUGAAGAAAUUUACGCAGUUGAAUCAUAAAAAAAAUAAAUAAAAGAAAAAAAGCGAGACAUUGUGAGACCUUGAAGAUAACUCAGAGGCUGCAAAAAGAGGGUUCUUUAUUUAUAGACAAGAUUAAUUCACAGACGGCAUGUUUCAAAAAUUAAAAAAAAAAGGGACCGUCGUCAUCGGAAUCGUUGUCGUUGUCUCAUAAACUGGGUCUGCGGUGUAGUAAAACACCCAAGAAGAAAGAAGGGUUCCUAUCCUAUCUUCUAUCCAACAUAACAUCCAGUAAAAUAAUCUGGGCUCUAUUUUUAUACGACACGGCUAAAUAUACCAAUGAAGUAACUCAGCUAUGCCAGAUACCAGUCCAAGCAGAAGGCAGAAACAGAGGCCUAAGAUGCUAAGAGACUCAAUAAAACAUAUGAGCUGGCAACCGGUGCUGCUGUCUACCGAGAGACGCGGUAAAUUUAUUAUUGCAACAUACCUACGACGACCCUCAAUUGUGACGGACCCAUGUAGUCUAGAGGCUAGAGUUCUCAACUUAUUGCUUGGGUUGCUGCUCGUUUCGAGUAUAAUAUACAAAGCCAAAUGGCCGAUCAGACCUUACCUUCAACCAGACCUAUACUAAUAGAACACUGAACCGCAAGUCUGGUGAUGCAGAGUAUGGUUACAGGUACCUACGGUGGGAGAAAGAUUUGCCAACAGCGGAAGGAUCGCAGAUCGGGAUAAUUCGCGACUGUCCACGACCUAGAUUGCCGCCGUGUACUGGCCUUCUACGUUGGUCCUUGGGGUCAUGGUGGGCUCUAGAAAUCACCGCUAAUAUACCUUCAGAGUCACAUUAUACGUAGUCCGUAGACAAUGACCUGGUGAUGCUUAAAAAACGGAUCUAUAUCUUAUUUCAUUUGGUUCCUUUUAACGGUUCGUCCUGACGCAGGUAUGAAAUUGUUUGAACCACGAGAGCACGCGUGUCUACAUAUGGGAAGCAAUGUGAUGCUACGCAGCUUCAACCACUGAAGCUGGUAAAAAAAGCGUGCAUGCCAGACUGUUAAUAACUUGGAAAAGCUUGACAAAUAUUUAAUUUCCUCAUUCUUGUAUUCACAGUACAAUGAGUAAGAAGAGAAGAAGAAGAAGAAGAAGAAGAAGAGAAGAUAGGAAAUGGUAAUGUAUUGUAGGCAAAGACGUCUAAGUUUAGUUCAAACUAAUAAACUUCCGGGAGCGGGCUUUGAUGAUUUGUUUUUUAACUCUCAUCAUUUCCGGAUUAGUCUAACUUUUACUUUUAUAUUUUUAUUGCCAUAGCAUUUUAAAUUCAAACUGAGCGUAAAAGAUUUGGUUACUCCUAGCAGGUACAUGCGGGUCUACAAACCUCAACCAUUGUCCGUGAAUAGCUUAAAUCCUGUAAUCUCUUUGUCCUCGAAUUUUCGAUGCCUUUAUUUUAUUAGACGUACUUUAACGAACAAUUUCAAUUGUUAAUUUACUCAACUGCGACGGCAACCUUCUUUUAUGAGUCCAUGGUCAAUAUCUAUGUAUAUUCUACAGCUCGGUAAUAUAAAUACACGUAUAUUCACUUUAGUGAAUAGUGAAUAAAUGAAAUGUUAUUUAUUUCUUAUUCUGCCAUACCGGAGGUCCGGAUGCUUUGGUUGUCAUUGAAAUACAUUCAAAUAGUAGUUUAAGCUUAAUAUAACGGAUUUCGAUGGUGAUGAUGGAGACAAUUCAUUGGGUUUCCUCUUUUUGACAUAUCGAACGACAGCGGAUGCAGUGACAAUAGGAAACUUUGGCUUACCAAAGUGAAUAGUCAGUAGCGGAUACAACACGUGACUUCCGGAAUAUAAUAAUUUUUUAAAGACGACAUCCUUUUUAUUUAAUAUACCUAUGUAUGUAUAUAAAUGGAUAUAGAUACGGAUAUAGAUAUAUUUAUUUUUAGUAUAUUACUAUACGGGAAUGUGAAGACAUAAUGCUGGGUAUCAUGAACGGAUAAAUUGUUUUCAAAAUUUAACCAGUGACUCCCGGUGUCACCUUUGAUACCUUAUCAAAACGUGGGAAUAAUAUUGAUGUAAGUACAACACAUCAGUCGAAUGAUCUCACAUAUUGUUCACGUGAACGUAAAUAACUGAGAGAGCUGUAAAAAUAUAUAUUACAUGUAUAUUUAUUAUACUUGAGCAGUGGGGAAGCUUAUCAUUACAAAAGUCCAACGCAAUAAUACAUAUAUUUUUUUGCUCCGUGAUAAGUUUGCUCGAUUGCGACGCCAAUUAAUAAUUAGUCACGUGGCCUCGAUGACGCUUUGUUUUUGUAAUUAAAAUAAUCCUCAGACCGUGGAAUCCCAGGUUUAGCAAUAUAAGGUUUACAGCACAUUUAUGAUUUUUAAUCAUUAAGCCAACGGAUUUUCGUAAUAUUCAGCACUUCCGUAAUCUAUAUCUAUUGUAUUAAACCACAAACUAUAAAAUGUACGACAAAAGAUAUUUCAUCAAUAGAUAUAAUGACGACAGAGAAUUAUAUUUAAACAUAUAUUUGCGAAAAAUAAAAAAAAAAAAAAAAGGAGUCUCUGACCUCGAGGGCCCUCUCAAUUCACAGGCAAAAUUCAUCUUAUUUGCCAGAGGGCCUUCGUUUUUGUGGAUGAUCGAAUCGAUUGUAGACCUUGGAUACACUCUGGGUUAAAUGAAAAUAAACGAUUAAUGCAAUGUCAGAAAAUUCCGAGAGUAAAAUAGCAGCAGCAGAAGUAAAUGCAGCAAAGAGUUUUUUAAAGACAACGAUGACGACGACGACGAAACAUCAACUGUGUAUUGCGAGUUGAUGAUGGGGAUGAAGAGUAAGAGGCAGAAGGUUGCGCCAGGUCCGCCCAGUAUAAGUUAAAGCUAUUGCAGAUAUUGCAAGUGUCGAGGAGACAGACACAAAGAGAUAAAUAAAAAUACAUAAAAGAGAAAAAAAACAAAGUUUAAAUAACGAGCCAGCAGAGAGCAAAUAAAACUAAAGCGCGAGUAGCUUUGAAUUUCUCAGUGUAAAUCUUUGAGAAAUAAAAAUUUGCCUAGACUCAAAUGCGAAUAUUCAUACUUGAGGUUUUUAAGAGGGAAGAAACCGCGUUGAAUUGGUGAUAAUGAUGCUGGUCGUAGUAGAAUAAUCGUGGGGUUAAUAAUAAUAGUAAGAUAAAAAAAAGCAUUUAAAUUGUGGGAGAGAAAAUACGAUACAGGGCACCUGAUCCGUGGCCUUCCUUUAUGACGGUCACUCCCAGCAGUUGCGUGUAUUUGCUGCUGUGAAAUGUUCAUACUCUACUACUACAUUUUAUCUUUAUAAAUGUUUUAUUAUAUAUACUUACUUAG
This is a long non-coding RNA of Cotesia glomerata, 3357 nucleotides long. RefSeq lists it as uncharacterized. NCBI's taxonomy places the organism in Eukaryota, Metazoa, Arthropoda, Insecta, Hymenoptera, Braconidae. The record is from RefSeq and is a predicted model, not a curated record. The transcript has 9 exons.